This 950-nucleotide ribosomal RNA is filed under the name Bacillus amyloliquefaciens. RNAcentral's name for it is "bacterial SSU rRNA". It matches the Rfam family "Bacterial small subunit ribosomal RNA", at positions 35 to 963 of the family's 1533-position model. Lineage: Bacteria; Bacillati; Bacillota; Bacilli; Caryophanales; Bacillaceae. The record is from RNAcentral.
GAAGGGGGGGUGCUAAUACAUGCAAGUCGAGCGGACAGAUGGGAGCUUGCUCCCUGAUGUUAGCGGCGGACGGGUGAGUAACACGUGGGUAACCUGCCUGUAAGACUGGGAUAACUCCGGGAAACCGGGGCUAAUACCGGAUGGUUGUUUGAACCGCAUGGUUCAGACAUAAAAGGUGGCUUCGGCUACCACUUACAGAUGGACCCGCGGCGCAUUAGCUAGUUGGUGAGGUAACGGCUCACCAAGGCAACGAUGCGUAGCCGACCUGAGAGGGUGAUCGGCCACACUGGGACUGAGACACGGCCCAGACUCCUACGGGAGGCAGCAGUAGGGAAUCUUCCGCAAUGGACGAAAGUCUGACGGAGCAACGCCGCGUGAGUGAUGAAGGUUUUCGGAUCGUAAAGCUCUGUUGUUAGGGAAGAACAAGUGCCGUUCAAAUAGGGCGGCACCUUGACGGUACCUAACCAGAAAGCCACGGCUAACUACGUGCCAGCAGCCGCGGUAAUACGUAGGUGGCAAGCGUUGUCCGGAAUUAUUGGGCGUAAAGGGCUCGCAGGCGGUUUCUUAAGUCUGAUGUGAAAGCCCCCGGCUCAACCGGGGAGGGUCAUUGGAAACUGGGGAACUUGAGUGCAGAAGAGGAGAGUGGAAUUCCACGUGUAGCGGUGAAAUGCGUAGAGAUGUGGAGGAACACCAGUGGCGAAGGCGACUCUCUGGUCUGUAAACUGACGCUGAGGAGCGAAAGCGUGGGGAGCGAACAGGAUUAGAUACCCUGGUAGUCCACGCCGUAAACGAUGAGUGCUAAGUGUUAGGGGGUUUCCGCCCCUUAGUGCUGCGGCUAACGCAUUAAGCACUCCGCCUGGGGAGUACGGUCGCAGGACUUGAAACUCAAAGAAAUUUGACGGGGCCCGCACAAGCGUUGGAGCAUUUUGGUUUUAUUUCAAAGCAACGCA